UUUUUCCAUUCGCUGAGUUCCAAUUAUGGGAACGGGGGAACCACUGUAAGCUGGAACAGUCGAUAACUGUUGUAGUGAACAGAGUGAGUAACAGGGGUGAAUCUUGGAGUGUACUUCGUAUACUUUGAGUAGGGCGACUCUCACGUCCGAAUCCGUCAGCUAACCUCGUAAGCGUAAGAGAGGUAACGA
RNAcentral lists this small RNA (189 nucleotides) under Paenibacillus ferrarius. RNAcentral describes it as "c-di-AMP sequence". It matches the Rfam family "c-di-AMP riboswitch aptamer (ydaO/yuaA leader)". Rfam says of the family: This family represents a conserved RNA structure found upstream of the ydaO and yuaA genes in Bacillus subtilis and related genes in other bacteria. The ydaO/yuaA element is thought to act as a genetic "off" switch for the ydaO and yuaA genes in its native state. The record is from Rfam by way of RNAcentral. Lineage: Bacteria; Bacillati; Bacillota; Bacilli; Caryophanales; Paenibacillaceae.